CAGCAAUUCUCUAUCCUACGUGGCGCUCUCAAAAGUCUCUAUUUCGAUUUAUCUAAAUUCUACCUUUUACGCCUUCGAAAAAACUCAGCUUCUCACAGUAAUCAAUCUGCAAAUACCUUGAUUUGGUAUUUUCUCCCCAUCGCUUGAUCUAUGGCGCAAAUUUCUCUCUCCAUAUCAAUGCAAAUGCCCUAAUUUGGUAUCUAACGCUCUACCAUAGGAGCCUCCGAGGCAUGCCAGCUCUUCUCUGACGCCCUACCAUAUAUGCGGCCUCUCUUGCUCUCCCAUCGCCUCUCUCCCAUUCCCAAAUCUAUAAUCCUAAGUCGUUGCCGCUAGCUUCAUCUCCUCCAGUCGCCGCCGCCGCCGACUGCAGCUCACCAGGGAAUGCCCCAUUCUUUUCAACAUUGAGCUCAAACACGUUUGGUUCCAGAACCGCAGGUAAAAUUCCGUAUUAUACCAUGCCUCCCAAGAGGAAUGCAGAUGAGCCUUCUGAGGCAAGGAUCGUCACUGAACUUGGGAAGGAAUUCAACAUAGAUGAAGUUUAUGGCAGCGAAUCAACUAUUAUAGGCAGUUUGAAAUCAGUGAAUGACUUCAAUCCAGUUGAAGUUCCUUCAAAUUCCCCUUUGAAUUUUGAUAUGGUGAUGCUUGAGGACAAAGAACCACCUCAGGGCAAUGAUGACGAUCAGCCCAUGGCAUCUGGAGAAGAAGAUGGAAAAGUUAAUGCAAAGGAGAAAUCUGCUACUGUCAAGCAAAAUGAAAAGCUGUAUGUUGAGGAAGGCAUGCUAAAUACAAAGAUGAGAAAAGCAGGCGGAAAAAGAAAAAUCAGCCAUCUGCGAUGAAAUAUGAUGGAAACGAUGAUUACGACUUCAAGGUUGACUACACGAAGGACUCAGCCAUGGAAACUGGAGAUGAGGUUGAAGAUGAUGAAACUAAGAAGAAUAGAUUUGAGCUACCUUCUGGAGUAGAGUUGGACAAUGAAUGACCAAAAAGAGAGAUAGCCAUUGAUGACUGUGAGUUUGAGUUUGUGAAAGUGCUAUAACUUUUGGCUUGAAUGAUGCUCUUAGUGGAUUCCCAAGUAGAGAAGCAUCUUGAUUUCGAACAGAAGUCAGACCAUUUCCUUGACUUUAUUGUUUACACACAUGACCCCAACAGGAAUAUUUCUUUAAUGUGGCACUCAUCUGUGCCUAGGUGAGAGUUAGUGUCUUUUCUUUCUUUUACUAUUGACGGUUAAUUCACAUAUCAUAUUGAGUUACUUUGCUACAUGUUUCAUUGGAUUUGUUUUAGUGUACUGAUGAAGAUAAAAUGUUUGAUUUUUGCCACA
RNA transcript from Salvia miltiorrhiza (redroot sage), 1318 nucleotides. It is a transcript of the gene named guanine nucleotide-binding protein-like NSN1, with no coding region annotated. The record is from RefSeq and is a predicted model, not a curated record. The transcript has 4 exons. Lineage: Eukaryota; Viridiplantae; Streptophyta; Magnoliopsida; Lamiales; Lamiaceae.